UACGGAGGGUGCAAGCGUUGUCCGGAUUUAUUGGGUUUAAAGGGUGCGUAGGCGGUCUUUUAAGUCAGUGGUGAAAGCCAACAGCUCAACUGUUGAAUUGCCAUUGAUACUGGAAGACUUGAGUAUAGGCGAGGUAGGCGGAAUUGACGGUGUAGCGGUGAAAUGCAUAGAUAUCGUCAAGAACACCGAUUGCGAAGGCAGCUUACUAGACUAUAACUGACGCUGAGGCACGAAAGUGCGGGGAUCAAACAGG
RNAcentral lists this ribosomal RNA (253 nucleotides) under uncultured bacterium. RNAcentral's name for it is "partial 16S ribosomal RNA". It matches the Rfam family "Bacterial small subunit ribosomal RNA", at positions 524 to 776 of the family's 1533-position model. The record is from RNAcentral.